Molecule: ribosomal RNA, 2007 nt
Filed under: Triticum aestivum (bread wheat)
Lineage: Eukaryota; Viridiplantae; Streptophyta; Magnoliopsida; Poales; Poaceae
Description: partial small subunit ribosomal RNA
Source: RNAcentral
AUGAACGGGCACGACGACGAGAACCUCACCGACCUCAUCUUCUAUUGGUCCCUCCAAGACGUCGUCAACCAAGACUUCUUCAGGGACAAAGUGAGCCGGAUACCUGACAGGUUCUUGGGCCUGAGGAGCUACCUGGACUCAUUCAGGGCUCCGCUGCUGGAGGAAAUCCGGGAAGAUAUGAGAUCCAGCCUCGAGGCACAGACCAACUGCUGCAGGCCCGUGCAGAUACGGCCCUUGUUUCCCAUGCCCAAGGGGGCCACAACCCACAAGGCCCCCACCCCCCCGUAUCGCGUGUCCAUCCGUGGAGCUUCUCCCCCGUGCACCAGCGACAUCGUCCUGCUCUCGACGGCGAUGCCGCUCCGGCCGUCCGACCUUGCCGGUGGCAACGGCGGCGCAUCCUACUGCCUCGCCCACGUCCAAAGCGUCCACAGGGACGGCACCAACUUUCUGAUCAGAGCUUCCCAGAGAGUAGACGAUUACGUCAACAGCUACGCGUUCAGCACUUCCCUGACCGGCGCCACCGACGUCGACGUGCCGCGAUCCGUAUCAGGCAGGCUGUCUGUGUUCGGGCUCAACGAGUCCCAGACUGGCGCCAUACUGAGCUGCGUGUCUGCGGUGCAGCGUGCCGGUGCCGGUGGCGGCGGCGGCGCAAGCAGCAAGGUUAGCCUCAUCUGGGGGCCGCCUGACACGGGCAAAACCAGGACCAUCAGCGUGCUCAUGCUAUCUGCCAUGAAGCUGAAAUGGCGGGUCCUGGCGUGCGCGCCGACCAACACCGCCGUCUGCCAGGUGGCCUCAAGCCUCCUGGCACUGAGGAGGCAGCACCCCGAUCCCGAUGCCUGCACUGGCCACGGCAAUCUGCUACUGUUUGGCAACAGGCAACGCAUGCCCAUCGACGACGAUCUCAACAACAUCUUCCUGGACACUCGUCUUAAGCUUCUAACAGAGUGCUUCUCGCCGGAGACGGGAUGGAGGCGGCGCCUUAUUUCACUGGAAUUGUUUCUGUGCGACGAAAUAGCCAUGAUCAAGCAGAAGGAUGGCACAGAACCAGGGGAGAAGAUGGAUCUGCUUCUCAUCGACGAGGCAGCACAGCUCAAGGAAUGUGAAUCCCUUGUCCCGUUGCAAGUCUCCGGACUCAAACACGCAGUUCUUAUCGGUGACGAGCGCCAACUGCCAGCUAUGGUCCAAAGCAAGGUUUCAGAUAAGGCGUUGCUGGGCAGGAGCCUGUUUGAAAGACUGGGUUUACUCGGACACAAGAAACACCUCCUCAACAUGCAGUACAGGAUGCACCCUUCCAUAAGCAUCUUCCCCAACUUGAGCUUCUACGACAGGCAAAUCUUGAAUGGCCCCAAUGUGUUGGAGACGAAGCACCAACGUAGUUACCUUCCUGGUGCAAUGUUCGGGCCAUACUCGUUCAUCAACAUUGAAGGCGGGGAAGACCGUGGCCGCAGCAAGAUGAACAUGUCUGAGGUGGCCGCCAUCCUGCAAAUACUGCGCAGUCUCAAGAAAGCUUGUGUCAGCGCCGGGGAGGUGGUUAGCGUGGGCGUCAUAUGCCCGUACACCGCUCAGGGGAAGGCGAUUCAGGGGAAGAUAGGGGACGUGAAGGCGAUGCGCCCCCUGGUUCUUCACAUCAACUCCGUGGAUGGGUUCCAGGGCAGCGAAGAAGAUGUGAUCAUCCUCUCCACUGUCAGGUCCAACGGCACCGGCUCGGUCGGCUUCCUGUCGAACCGGCAUCGCGCUAAUGUCGCCUUGACGAGGGCGAGGCAUUGCUUCUGGAUCCUAGGCAACGUGGCGACGCUUAGCGGUAGCGGCUCCAUCUGGGGGGAGCUGGUUCGGGAUGCGGCGGAACGUCGGUGCUUCUUUGACUGGGACGAUGGCGAGGGCGUGUCUCCUGCAGUUUCUCGCGGCGCUCGCUUGAUUGGGCCUGGACGUGGUGAAGUCGCUUCAGCUUUAGGCAUGCACCUGGCAGGGGAUAUCAGUGAAGCGCUCGGUUCUCUGCGACUCGCUUAA